AGAGAGAGAGAGAGAGAGAUGUACCAACUACUGAUAAUAUUUUACUAUACCAUGUAAGACUGCAGCAUUUAUGCAACUAAGGCAGAGUUGAACAUGCAAAUAAAUUUUGUUUCAUUGAACAAUAACAACUACAGAUUCAUAUAGAUUUCAACAGUAAAAAAUUUUCAUUUUCAUGAAACAAAACUCUACUGCCAUCUCUUCCAGCAAGUGCAGUGAAAAGAUCAUGCAGCUAUACCAAAAAUCUGCCGUGAAACAAACAAAAACAAGCAUACAUAAAUCGACUUGCCACCAUAAAAAAAAAUAACCCCAAUUACUUUCGUUUGCAUUAAGGCAACAAAUAAAUAAGUUGGCCCCAUCAUAACUAUCAAAUAACUUAUAAUGUCCUUUGAUAGGUUGGAAAGAAGAAGAGAACCAACUUACAUUGUUUUGUCAGAAUUUGCCCAUGCAGAAGACUACAUAAUUUAUCUAUAUAACAAUUUUCUACGUAUUUUUCUAGUAUAAUCCCCGUUUUUGGUUGAUUUCUGAUGCCAAAAGAGCCAUUUGCUAGGUUCGAAUUUCCAAGUUCUCAGACUUCUCUGAAUGAGGCCCAUGAGCCAGUGAUUUGUACUCCAAGCUCUUAGAUUUAUCUAUUUCUUCUGUUAGAAAUCCAGAAUUUCCUGAUCUCACCAUCUGCUCAACCUGGGUUCCAUGCACUGCUGUUCCAAUUUCAUUUUCAGUAUCAGUAGUCCUUUCCGUAUCUUGUUUGGUAUCAUCAACAUUCUGUAAGAAAGGACUGGCUAAAAAAAGCUUUUCCCAUGCACCAUCAUCAUAUAAUUCCGGUGGAAUAAAUGGGGCAUGAUUUUCAAACAAAGAUGAAUUUUCAUCCAUAAGCAAUUUCAUAAAAUCAGGACUCAAGAAAGAAUCUUUCUCAUCAGAAAAAGUGUUAGAUUCUUCUGGUUUUUCUGAAACCAUAGGUGUAGGCAUCUCAUUCAUUUGUGGUGGCUGGUACCUUAUUAUCAUCCCAUCAGAAGCUAAUUGUUCUUCAUCUGCACCUUGUUCCACUAUGCUUCCUGGUUCAGCCAUCCGCCAGUUGUUCUCUUUGGGGUGAAGCAACUGAACCAGAAAUCCUGGACUUUGCAUUACCAUAACUAAAAAUGACAGCAUCUGCUGCUGAUUUUUUUCCAUUCCUUGAACUUUAUCUCUCAAAAGGAGUAAGUUAUUAUCUGCAUUUUCCUGGUGCUGCCUAAGAUUAAUCAACUCCUGCAUCAGUGCAUUUUUGUCAGUCUUCAGAUUCUCAAUUUUCUUCCAUAGCCCCUCAUUUUCAGUUUUGCCAAAAGGCUCAACUGAGCUAUCCUGCUGCUGCAAUUCUUUUUGAUUGACAGUGAAUUGAGAAUGUUUUCUUCUGGAGAUGUUCUUUAACAAUUGUUUUUGAUUUCUGAUAAAUCCAUCAUUUGCAAACUCCCAGCGAUCUGUAUCAAUUUUCCUGAAGCCCUGAAAAUGUUUAUGGUUGCUAAAUCUUUACUACCAUAAUAUUAUUUCAAUUUUCGCAGUUAGCAGUCGCACAUGGCCCACAUGGCAACAUAUUAUGAUCAAUCAAAUACAUCUGCAAAUGGCAUAUGGUACAAGUAGAGAAAAAUUUAGGAAUUAGAUAAAUUUUCCUUCACUUAAGAAGUUUAUAAGUUUUGAGAGGCCAUGAAAUUACUCUAGCAAAAAAUUUUACAGAUAAGUAUCGGCAUAAAGAGCCAUAAUUCUCAUAUGUUCAAAUGAAAACAAGAACCUGAAACCAAAGGUCAAGAGCAAAUGCACUGGCUAUAUUUUAGCAGGACAAACCCCAAAUUAAAUUUUUUAUAAUCCCAAAUCAUUGUCAUGUUAAAAGAACAUAAUUCUAGAACAAAAUCUGUAUUGCAUCUUAUAUAAUCCCAAAACUUUCCUUCCUUCAGACAGAAAAAUUCAAACCAAGAACUUUCCCAAUCCCAAAACUAAAAACCGAAUAAAGUCAAAACAAAGCUUGUAAACCCUGAUACCCAGUAAAAAUUAAAUUUCACAAAGUAACAUUAAUUAGAGAAGAAAAUCUAAGAGGUUCAAUUAGGAUAAUUUGAGGAGAAAAUUUUCAAUUAGGUUAAUUGUUGUUUUAAGCAAAUAUAUUUACCAAACAAACUCUUAAUGAACUAACAUGAGAAAUUCCAUAGAAAUAACAAUUGAAAAACAUCAGUCUUCACAGUAAACAAUGCCCCCAGAAUGAUUGUAACUUGUAAACAUAAGUAGGUGGCUCCGCAUCAUGAUUCUAGCCAACACUGAUUUAGCUAUUGUCACUAUUUGCCUAUUUCAUCCUAGCCAGCCUGGUUUCAGCCAGGACUCCAAAAAAGCAAAAUAAAAGAAAAAAGAAGCAAAAAUUAUCACAACAUUGAUCAUAAAACAUUUAUUAAGCAAACAAAAUCUUGUGGAUUCACAGCAUAAGCUACAUAUCAAAACAAUAAGCAAAGGCUAUAAUUUGAAGUAGCAGACUUUCUAAGCAGAAGGCAAACAACAAGCAAUCAGUAGAUCUUUGUUAAUCCAAGUAUCCAACAGUGCAGGCCUCCCAAAAAUUGAUUCCUUAAUCAAAUGGGUGUUGGAUGGUUGGAAAGGUAUCCCUCGCUGAUCCUUCCCACAAUAUUAAGGGAAAUGCUUUAAUAAGAUGAUUCUAAAUGCUGACAAAGGGCACUUGCUCAAAAUUCAUGAACCAAGCUAUUCACCCUAAGUUCCCAAAACAUAAGAACACCUAAAACACAAUACCUCUGUACUCUCUCUGCUGUCAACAACAACAAUACCAGUGUUUGAAAGCCAUGUGUAAGUUCUCAAUACAUUUCUAUAAUGUUCAAAGCAAGAGUGGAUAAGUACAUCUUCCAUAUUUUUGACUCCAUCAUUAAAAUGCAACAUUGAUGAGAAAUUAGCAACCUAUCAUUUGCAGAGGAGAAUUCAACCUUUAGUUUGUAUCUAGCAUCCCCAGAUAACAUAAUUCUCCUCACCAAAUUGCUCGGAAAUAGUCCACUCAUUCCAUACCGUUACUAAUUAGAAGACAGAUGCAUACUUUUAUAUCCACAAAAGAAGCCAAGAUAGACUUUAUCCCUUGCAUAUUAUAAAUAGACAGUGAACAUACUUAUAAAACCACUAGAGAUCAAUAUCAAUGCCACACUUCUUCACUGAAAAUUUGCGAAAAAAAAUCAAUUAUCUGCUGACUUUAAUUUUGAUAAAAAAGAACUUCAACAACGAAAAUGAGCAAGUUAGUCAGAUACUUGUAGAUUCUAUUUUUCAAAAAAAUUUUGACAGGUACAGUCUUAAUUUACGCAAUUUAAAACACCCAGAUAUAAAUUAAUCAAAAACCCAUAAAUGAACACCAGACCACACAACUAGAACACGCUAAAGCAACUUAAAAUCAUACAAAACGAAAUUUAUCUACCCACUAAAGCAAACAGAGAUUAUUAGAAAAGGAAAACUUACAUAGAUAUUAAGCUGCCUGAUAAAGCUAGAAGAAUUGCUGUGCUUGAAGUACUUGGGCAGCAAUUGAAUAGAAAAUUCAGUCAUAUCCCAUAUAAUGAAGCUAUCAUUAUUUUGGCUCCAUGAAAUAAUCGAAUUUGUGGACUCAUCAUCUACCAUAUCGUAGCAUUUUUUAAGAAAAGGAGCCACUGAUAGAGACCCACCAUCUCCUGAUUUCACCAUGUGUUAAUGAUGGUUACAGAACCCACAAAAUCAAGAGAUUUCUGAGGCAGAAAGAAACAGAAAAUGGUGUGUACCCUUGCAAAGUCUUUGGAGUCAAGCAAUCAUAGGAUAAAUACAUGAAGCGGAGAAAGAGAACUAGAGAAGGG
RNAcentral lists this unclassified non-coding RNA (3821 nucleotides) under Hevea brasiliensis (rubber tree). The record is from RNAcentral. Lineage: Eukaryota; Viridiplantae; Streptophyta; Magnoliopsida; Malpighiales; Euphorbiaceae.